RNAcentral lists this ribosomal RNA (536 nucleotides) under uncultured bacterium. RNAcentral describes it as "bacterial SSU rRNA". It matches the Rfam family "Bacterial small subunit ribosomal RNA", at positions 971 to 1509 of the family's 1533-position model. The record is from RNAcentral.
UUACCAGGUCUUGACAUACUCGUGCUAUUCCUAGAGAUAGGAAGUUCCUUCGGGACACGGGAUACAGGUGGUGCAUGGUUGUCGUCAGCUCGUGUCGUGAGAUGUUGGGUUAAGUCCGCAACGAGCGCAACCCCUAUUGUUAGUUGCCAUCAUUAAGUUGGGCACUCUAACGAGACUGCCGGUGAUAAACCGGAGGAAGGUGGGGAUGACGUCAAAUCAUCAUGCCCCUUAUGACCUGGGCUACACACGUGCUACAAUGGAUGGUACAACGAGUCGCGAGACAGUGAUGUUUAGCUAAUCUCUUAAAACCAUUCUCAGUUCGGAUUGUAGGCUGCAACUCGCCUACAUGAAGUCGGAAUCGCUAGUAAUCGCGGAUCAGCACGCCGCGGUGAAUACGUUCCCGGGCCUUGUACACACCGCCCGUCACACCACGGGAGUUGGGAGUACCCGAAGUAGGUUGCCUAACCGCAAGGAGGGCGCUUCCUAAGGUAAGACCGAUGACUGGGGUGAAGUCGUAACAAGGUAGGCGUAGCGAG